This 576-nucleotide ribosomal RNA is filed under the name Bacillus sp. CH373a_12D. Its description in RNAcentral is "bacterial SSU rRNA". It matches the Rfam family "Bacterial small subunit ribosomal RNA", at positions 57 to 615 of the family's 1533-position model. Lineage: Bacteria; Bacillati; Bacillota; Bacilli; Caryophanales; Bacillaceae. The record is from RNAcentral.
GCAGUCGAGCGGAUUGAUGGGAGCUUGCUCCCAUCAGUCAGCGGCGGACGGGUGAGUAACACGUGGGUAACCUGCCUGUAAGACUGGGAUAACUCCGGGAAACCGGGGCUAAUACCGGAUAACUCAUUUCCUCGCAUGAGGAAAUGUUGAAAGGUGGCUUUUAGCUAUCACUUACAGAUGGACCCGCGGCGCAUUAGCUAGUUGGUGAGGUAACGGCUCACCAAGGCGACGAUGCGUAGCCGACCUGAGAGGGUGAUCGGCCACACUGGGACUGAGACACGGCCCAGACUCCUACGGGAGGCAGCAGUAGGGAAUCUUCCGCAAUGGACGAAAGUCUGACGGAGCAACGCCGCGUGAGUGAUGAAGGUUUUCGGAUCGUAAAACUCUGUUGUUAGGGAAGAACAAGUACCGUUCGAAUAGGGCGGUACCUUGACGGUACCUAACCAGAAAGCCACGGCUAACUACGUGCCAGCAGCCGCGGUAAUACGUAGGUGGCAAGCGUUGUCCGGAAUUAUUGGGCGUAAAGCGCGCGCAGGUGGUUCCUUAAGUCUGAUGUGAAAGCCCACGGCUCAACCG